RNAcentral lists this long non-coding RNA (556 nucleotides) under Bos taurus (domestic cattle). Its description in RNAcentral is "long non-coding RNA NONBTAT019351". Lineage: Eukaryota; Metazoa; Chordata; Mammalia; Artiodactyla; Bovidae. The record is from RNAcentral.
GUCAAUUUGGUCAAGUGAAGAAGUAGCAAUUAUCUGCCAAUGCUUUGGGAAAAUAAGUAAUGUUGUCUAUGGAGGCCAGGCAUCUUAGUUCAUCCAGAAAUAUAAAUGGGACAAACAUUUUUAACCCCUGAAUAUAUAGUUGUGAUCCAAUCAGACAAAGCCCUAACAUUUCCAGCAUUCUGUCUAGAUUGACUGGGUUCAGGGCUAAAUGAAAAUAGAGAUAUGGAGAAAUGCUUAUUUAAAGGUAAUAGUUAACUAACAUUCAACUUCAUGGAAAGAUAAGUAAUUGAGUUGAGAUGAAGCAACUAACAAUAUGUUAGAGGUUAAAAAUAAUAGUUUGCAGCAUUGUAACCUCUAUUUGACAUUUGAGUUCAGCUGUAAUUAUUGAUAGCAUUAAAAGGCCUUAAUUUUUCUUGCUGGUAAAGGUACGUGUACUUAGACUGGUCAUUUAGAGUAGUGUUUUAACAUAGUAUUACUGUGAAAAACAUUCCAUUACAAAUUCACAAGCAAAUUACUGCACAUUUAAAAAAUUGUACUUUUCAAUUUACUGCAAGUA